Non-coding RNA from Annulohypoxylon truncatum, 88 nucleotides. The record is from the annotation of a RefSeq genome assembly. NCBI's taxonomy places the organism in Eukaryota, Fungi, Ascomycota, Sordariomycetes, Xylariales, Hypoxylaceae.
UCCGAAUUGGUGUAGUGGCUAACAUUUGGUGCUCUCACUUCUUGUCCAGUGACCCGCCAAGCCCGGGGUUCGAUUCCCCGAUUCGGAG